Long non-coding RNA from Papaver somniferum (opium poppy), 1781 nucleotides. RefSeq lists it as uncharacterized. The transcript is spliced from 2 exons. Lineage: Eukaryota; Viridiplantae; Streptophyta; Magnoliopsida; Ranunculales; Papaveraceae. The record is from RefSeq and is a predicted model, not a curated record.
CAUUUCUUUUCUUCUUUCUUCUUUUCUCUUCUCUCUUCUGUUCUUUUUCUUCUUCUGUUUCUUCACCUCUGAAGAAUUCGCGUGAGAACUCUGCUGCUGUAAAGUCGAGAGCGUAGCAGGAACAUCGGGGUUUGAUAGAUGCUGCUGGUGGUGGUGAAUCUGUUUGUUGUUGAUUCAAAUUCGGAUCUGAGAUGAAUUGAGAAUUAGGGUUCUGGGAUGGUUUCGAGUUUGUGUAAAAUUGGAGUUGGGGAUCGAAACAAGAAGAGAUAGAACAAGGAUGGCUUGUUGUUAGAUUGAAGAACAUGAGGGUGGUAGUUCAAUUAAAGUUAUGAAGUUGAUUCAGUGAAUAAACAAAGAGUUGGGGUUUCUGUGGUUUCAAUGGAAGUUCAAUUUAGGUGAUGAUUAAGAAGAAAUUAGAGGAUGGGUGUUGAGGAACGUGAUUAAAGAAGAUUGUUAUGGUUUUAAUUUGGGGUUUUGGCUACAAGGAAUAAGAUGGAUUAAGAAAUUUGAAGAAUUAGGGUUCAUAUUCUUCCCCAAUUUAUGAACUAGAGUUUCAGCAGAAUUGAUUUGAUAAAUUAGCAAUUCAGAAGACGCUAUUGGUUGGGUGAGUCUUUAAUUGUUCUGAACUUAAGUAAUUUGAAUUGAACUGCUUUAAUUAAUGAGUUUAUGAAUUAUGAGUUGUAAUUGAAGAUGCAAUUGAUUUGUGAUUGAGAUACUCGUGGAAUGGAACUGGGAUUAUGGAUGAGAAGAUGUUGACUUUGAAAUUAUCGUAACUGGAAUUGUGUGGAAUUGAGUGAAGAAACAGAUGAUGGGAUUUCAGUAGUGUAUGAUUGUUGUAGAAUGUAGGUGAAAUAAUUGGUGGUAUUACAGGUUCUGUAAGAAGAGAUGUGGUUUUGAAUGAGUUAUAAGAUAUGGAUGAGUUUAGCUAGAUUAUUAGGAGGUUUAGUGGUUGUAUUGGUUGAGUCUGGUGGAUGUAAGAUGGUGAUUGUCUUAAGAUGGAAUUGAAGGUGUUGGUGAUGUUGAACUAGACAGUUAUAGCUGGAAGGGGAAAAGAAAGAGUCGAACAGAAUUGAAUCAGAUUGUAUUGCAGGGAAGAGUUGAGUGUAGUGAAGUCAUAGAAGUUAUGUCUAAAGAAGUGGAAUGAGAUAUUAUGGGACUGAGUUAUAGGAAUGGAGUAUGUUUGAGUGUAAACAAUGGGAUUGGUGCAGAUGUAAUGAGGUGGUGGUAGUGUUGUUGAAGUUCAUGGAACUGCAGUUGCAGUUAUAGUAGUAUUGUUUGUGUGUUUGAGAGUUUUAGAGAUGCAGUGGCAGUAUAGAUGUGCUGGUUUGUUUGAGUUGAGAAGAGAGUUAAUGCAUCUACUGCAAUUGCAGUUAGUGUAUAUUAACAACAAUCGAUUCAAAGGAUGAACCAGCAGAUCGUGGAUCUCGAGUUAGGCGUGGCUUGUCAUCAAAAAAGUUUUCAGAGACAGAUCAGAAUUGCGCAGCGAAAGCCACAAGUGUUGAAGCUUGGUAUUUUUAGAAGCUAUGGAAAUGACAACUACAUAUGUUUGGUCUCGGGUUAUUUUUGAAACUGACAACCUUAAUAUAAGCUGUUAUCUAACAAAUAGUUCUUCACUUCCUCUUUGGCAGAGUAUUCAUAUCCUUCGAAAAUGUGUAAAUCAAUAUACAAUUAACUUUGUUUAGUCUUUGUGAGUUUGUUUAUCGAGUUGUAAUAAACCUGCUGAUGCUUAAGAAAACACUGCGAGUAUGCUUAAUCUUUAUGGGAAAUGAUGGUUAUGUCCA